GGCCCUGGGCACAUUGGUCAAGUCUUCAAAGUGAUUCUGGCUUCCCCAAACUCCUUUUUUUGUCCUCUCUCCCAGGCCAAAGUCAGAGGCCCCAUCCUCUCUCCACCAUCAAUGGGAAGAGGUCUUUGCAAUGCAUCAGUCCCUUUGUCCUGAAUUCAUCACUGACUGAUACUGUCACCUCAGCUGUUUAAUCUUGUUCUUUAUUUUUUGUCUUUUUAGGGCAGUACCUGUGGCAUGUGGAAGUUCCAAGGCUAGGAGUCUAAUUGGAGCUAUAGAUGCGGCCUUCACCACAGCCACAGCAAUGUGGGAUCUGAGGUGCAGUUGUGACGUACACCACAGCUCACAGCAAUGCUGGAUCCUUACACCACUGAGCAAGGCCAGGGUUCGAACCCACAUCUUCAUGGAUACUAGUCAGAUUCAUUUCCAGUGAGCCACAAUGGGAACUCCAAUCUUUUCUCUAAUUGUAUCACCAAGGUGGAUUUUAGGCACUGGCAAGUGGGUGAAGAGCUCUUGGGUAGAGGGAUCUAGAGGGCCCCUUUGACCCCAAUAGCCUUGCUACUCAAAAGGUGGUUCUGGACCAGCAGCAUCUGCAUCCCCAGGGAGCUUGUUGGGAUGCAGAAGCUCAGGCCCCAGCCAUGGUGCUGGAUCAGAAUCUGCCCUGUAACAACACCCACUGGUAUUGCUGAUGGCGAUGAUCAGGGACCACACUUUGAGAAUCACUGCCCCAGAACUUCUCAGGGAAACUACACACCCAGAGCAUCCCCUAGAGGGGUUUUCCAGCGAGGGUAGAAGAAGCAGUUAAUGAGUUUUCAUUUCCUUGCUGGCAGAGGCGAACAACCAGCAGGGCAACACACUUGGGGUGGAAAACUGACUUCCCAUUCAUCUCUACCAGUUUGGCCCAGGUCCAGCCUACCCUGAACCCCACCUCCCCUCCCCUCAUGACUGCUCAGGCCGGCCCCACCACCUACAGGAUUUCCAGCUUAAAUUGUCAGGCACGUGGGAGAGGGGCCUCAGUUAUCACAGCAUAAUCACAGCAAAUCCAAACCAGGUGAUACAAAAUAGUACAGAUGUGACAUCUCAUGUUAUACACAGAACUGGAAUUAAUAGGAAUCCUCCAAAAGAGAUCCACUUCAAGACCAGCAGAGGUCCUGGGGAGCAGUUUGUAUUUUUCACACAUGUCAGGCCACAGAAAUGCCUGCCAUCCUUUUUCAAGAGCUGUAAUCUGUGAACCUUCUUAUUGUUUAUAUAUAUCAGAGAGGCCAUUAGUAUCCUGAUGACUGUUGUGUUACUAUUGAUCAUUACAGAUAUAAUCUAUUAUCUCUUUCUUACUUUUUAGGGCUUCCCCCAUGGCAUAUGGAAAUUCACAGGCUAGGGCUUGAAUCAGAGCUACAUCUGUCAGCCUACAUCACAGCCACAGCAACAUGGGAUCUGAGUUACGUCUGCAACCUACACCACAGCUCACAGCAAUGCCAGAUCCUUAACCCACUGAUCAAGGCCAGGAAUAGAACCCACAUCCUUAUGGAUAAUACUCGGAUUUGUUUCCGCUGCACCACGGGAACUCCCUAUUAUCUUUUAAAAAUGUAUUAGCGCAUAUCACAGAGAGACUCCUGAAUGGGGAUGCAUGUGCUAAGGCUUAAAAGGAGGCCCCCAAAUCAAAAUCUUGGCAAGAGCAGUUAGACGUGGUAAAAUGCCAUGAUGAAAGUCGUCCAUACACGCUGACAUGCUGUUCACAUGGGAAAAGCCUCUGCUAAACAUUAAAGAUAGUGCUGGGGGAAAAGGCAGCUUUAAAGCAAAAGGAUAACACAGUAAUUACAUAUUUAUGCUCUCCUGGAAUACAGCCACCUGACUAUAUUUACCGCUAUGGGAAAUUUUGCCUUGAAUUAUAGAAGAUCUUCAAAAAAGCAUCCGUUGCAUAAAAUGUGACCAUAACAUAUAUGAGAAUAUUUUACUCCUCACUUCAAUAGAGCCAAAAAUGUAUCCUGAUGUGUCCAACACCAUUUUGUCCCUUGGUUACAGAUCCCAUCCCCUCCAAUGGGAGAGCCUUCACCGACUCCCUCUGUCCCCUGUGGCCCCAUAAACGGCACUGCAAGCAGUAGACACCCCAUAACAUGCUCAUUAUGCCAUUAUUCACAACAGAAGUGGUUUUGAAUUCAUUCUGGUUUCUUUUUUAAAAAAUCCAGGCUGAUAAUUCAUUGCAGCACUAUUCACAAGAGCCAAGAUAUGGAAACAACCCAAAUGUCCAUCAACGGAUAAUUGGAUUAGGAAGAUGUGGUAUACAUAAACAAUGGAAUACUACUCAGCCAUAAAAAAGAACAAAAUAAUGCCAUCUGCAGCAACAUGGAUGGAACUAGAGACUCACACUGAGUGAAGUAAGUCAAAAAGAGAAAGACAAAUACCAUAUGAUACCACUUAUAUCUGGAAUCUAAUAUAUGGCACAAAUGAACCUUUCCAAGAAAAGAAAAUCAUGGACAUGGAGAACACACUUGUGGUUGCCAAGGGGGAGGGGGAGGGAGAGGGAGUGGGAUGGAUGGGGUUCUUGGGGUUAACAGAUGCAGACUCUUGCCUUUCGAAUGGAUUAGUGAUGAGAUCCUGCUGUAUAGCACUGACAACUAUGUCUGGUCAUUUAUGAUGGAGCAUGAUAAUGUGAGAAAAAAGACUGUAUACAUGUAUGUGUAACCAAGUCACUAUGCUGUACAGUAGAAAAUUGAUAGAACACUGAAAACCAGCUAUAAUGGAAAAAAAUAAAAAUCGUUGUACAAAUCGAGGCUGGUAAUAUUUUUUGAACUCUGGCUUUGAGCAGGACUCUGCUCUGCUGGGUGGAUCUUGGAAUUCUCAGUGCCUCCAUUUCCCAUCUUUGCAGAGAAAUUUGCCCUCAGUCUGAGGGUCAACGUUUGGAGGGAGUUGUACAAAGGAUAGAGAUGGUGGCCUUCAGAAGUGAGGAGGGGCAAGGGCUUUGGCCAUGUCUCCAGCAAGUCCAUCCAUGCUCCUGUGCCUGCUCCUGCUCCGGGGGGAGGGGGCCAUCACAGGUGGACACAGCCAUUCCAUUCUUUUCCCCUCUGCAAGAUCCAUAGCCUGUAUCUUAAGCAGUGGGGUAUGUAGGCUGGAUCUCAGGAGGGAGGAUGGGGUGUGCUCUGGGGUCUAAGAAGCAGUUAGUUGAAACUGUGUUAGUUCUGAUUUUAAGCGGUGACAACAGAUGGAGGUUUAAGGUGGGAGACCCUCUCCCUCAGGGGUCAAGAGGUGGAGGAAGAGCAGAAGAUGACCGAAAGGUGGAGUGAUGGCAGCCCGAAUGGGAUAGGCUUUCUGCUUCCUCUUGUGCAAACACCUCUCCCAUCUCCACCCUAAAUGGAGGGUCACAGAGGCCAACGGAGCAG
RNAcentral lists this long non-coding RNA (3371 nucleotides) under Sus scrofa (pig). Its description in RNAcentral is "lncRNA (ENSSSCG00030020428.1)". Lineage: Eukaryota; Metazoa; Chordata; Mammalia; Artiodactyla; Suidae. The record is from RNAcentral.